RNAcentral lists this long non-coding RNA (535 nucleotides) under Capsella grandiflora. RNAcentral describes it as "long non-coding RNA (CGRA_LNC000177)". Lineage: Eukaryota; Viridiplantae; Streptophyta; Magnoliopsida; Brassicales; Brassicaceae. The record is from RNAcentral.
AAGAAUACAAAAUACCCACCAAAGAAACUAAGAGAACAUCAUCAACCUAACAAAUGAUUAAGAAAGCUUCCUUUACAGGAACUGAAAAACACUAGUGUUUUUACCACUGACCAAACAGUACAUCAGAAGAAAUGCAAACUGAGUUUGUGUAACAAAAGUGAUGACUUUGGAAGAAUGGUAUAUAACUAUCUUUAUCCAAUGAUCAUAACAAUCAGGAUGUUGUAUUCUAAACACUUGUUGUAUAUACAUCAAUAUCCAUUUCCUGUAACAUUGAAAAAGCUUUACUUAGUCUUCAGAUACUUUUGAUACCAACUGGUCCCUCUGCAUAGCCUGCAAUUCAAGAAGGUGGAAACUGAAAACACACACAUCAUAAAAGAAAAGCAUAAGCAAGUAUUCACUCAAAAGGACUUUACAUUUUCAAAAAAUAGAAUCUCAGGUCGAAUAUGCAGAUUCCGGAAUUUGCUGAGAACACCAUCCCAGUCUCCAAUAACCUGGAAAACCAACAUACAUCACUUAGUCACAGAUCAAGUAACUU